AUUGAACGCUGGCGGCAUGCCUUACACAUGCAAGUCGAACGGUAACGGGCCUUCGGGUGCCGACGAGUGGCGAACGGGUGAGUAAUACAUCGGAACGUGCCCGAUCGUGGGGGAUAACGAGGCGAAAGCUUUGCUAAUACCGCAUACGAUCUACGGAUGAAAGCAGGGGACCGCAAGGCCUUGCGCGGACGGAGCGGCCGAUGGCAGAUUAGGUAGUUGGUGGGAUAAAAGCUUACCAAGCCGACGAUCUGUAGCUGGUCUGAGAGGAUGAUCAGCCACACUGGGACUGAGACACUGCCCAGACUCCUACGGGAGGCAGCAGUGGGGAAUUUUGGACAAUGGGCGCAAGCCUGAUCCAGCCAUGCCGCGUGCAGGAUGAAGGCCUUCGGGUUGUAAACUGCUUUUGUACGGAACGAAAAGCCUUCUUUUAAUACAGGAGGGUCAUGACGGUACCGUAAGAAUAAGCACCGGCUAACUACGUG
RNAcentral lists this ribosomal RNA (482 nucleotides) under uncultured bacterium. RNAcentral's name for it is "partial 16S ribosomal RNA". It matches the Rfam family "Bacterial small subunit ribosomal RNA", at positions 30 to 507 of the family's 1533-position model. The record is from RNAcentral.